Molecule: long non-coding RNA, 314 nt
Organism: Juglans regia (Persian walnut)
Lineage: Eukaryota; Viridiplantae; Streptophyta; Magnoliopsida; Fagales; Juglandaceae
Exons: 2
Source: RefSeq, a predicted model, not a curated record
UUUCUCGCCUUCCCUUUCUCACAGGUGCCUUUUUCUCGUUUUCAAAUCUCUACAUUUCCAGUUCAAACAUUAUUCCACAGUUGCCUUGUGCUCUCGUCUUCUAUCUAUGCCCGGCACAACCUAUUCCAAGUGGGUUUUGGAGUUGCAGAAACUUAAAGUUGAUACCCAGUCUCCCGAUUGCAUGGCACAAGAGAUUGACAAAAGCACUGAAGAGCAUCAGAGCUUUUUCCAUUCCAUAUUCGAAUUUUAGUCAUGUUCCAUUAUGUAAAGAUGUAAGAAAGUUAUUUGAGUAAGAGAAACACACUCAAGCUCAA